CAGCACCUCAAGUGGUCAGGAUGAUUAUUGGGCCUAAAGCAUCCGUAGACGGCGCUGUAAGUUUUCGGUUAAAUCUGUACGCUCAACGUACAGGCUGCCGGGAAUACUGCAGCGCUAGGGAGUGGGAGAGGUAGACGGUACUCGGUAGGAAGGGGUAAAAUCCUUUGAUCUAUUGAUGACCACCUGUGGCGAAGGCGGUCUACCAGAACACGUCCGACGGUGAGGGAUGAAAGCUGGGGGAGCAAACCGGAUUAGAUACCCGAGUAGUCC
This 270-nucleotide ribosomal RNA is filed under the name uncultured archaeon. Its description in RNAcentral is "partial 16S ribosomal RNA". It matches the Rfam family "Archaeal small subunit ribosomal RNA", at positions 477 to 747 of the family's 1478-position model. The record is from RNAcentral.